GAUGAACGCUGGCGGCGUGCCUAAUACAUGCAAGUCGAGCGAACAGACGAGGAGCUUGCUCCUCUGACGUUAGCGGCGGACGGGUGAGUAACACGUGGAUAACCUACCUAUAAGACUGGGAUAACUUCGGGAAACCGGAGCUAAUACCGGAUAAUAUAUUGAACCGCAUGGUUCAAUAGUGAAAGACGGUUUUGCUGUCACUUAUAGAUGGAUCCGCGCCGCAUUAGCUAGUUGGUAAGGUAACGGCUUACCAAGGCAACGAUGCGUAGCCGACCUGAGAGGGUGAUCGGCCACACUGGAACUGAGACACGGUCCAGAAUCCUACGGGAGGCAGCAGUAGGGAAUCUUCCGCAAUGGGCGAAAGCCUAACGGAGCAACGCCGCGUGAGUGAUGAAGGUCUUCGGAUCGUAAAACUCUGUUAUUAGGGAAGAACAAAUGUGUAAGUAACUAUGCACGUCUUGACGGUACCUAAUCAGAAAGCCACGGCUAACUACGUG
RNAcentral lists this ribosomal RNA (497 nucleotides) under uncultured bacterium. Its description in RNAcentral is "partial 16S ribosomal RNA". It matches the Rfam family "Bacterial small subunit ribosomal RNA", at positions 28 to 507 of the family's 1533-position model. The record is from RNAcentral.